RNAcentral lists this ribosomal RNA (237 nucleotides) under uncultured bacterium. Its description in RNAcentral is "partial 16S ribosomal RNA". It matches the Rfam family "Bacterial small subunit ribosomal RNA", at positions 99 to 334 of the family's 1533-position model. The record is from RNAcentral.
CGAACGGGUGAGUAACGCGUGAGGAACCUGCCUCAAAGAGGGGGACAACAGUUGGAAACGACUGCUAAUACCGCAUAAGCCCACGGGUCGGCAUCGACCUGAGGGAAAAGGAGCAAUCCGCUUUGAGAUGGCCUCGCGUCCGAUUAGCUAGUUGGUGAGGUAAUGGCCCACCAAGGCGACGAUCGGUAGCCGGACUGAGAGGUUGAACGGCCACAUUGGGACUGAGACACGGCCCUG